This 505-nucleotide ribosomal RNA is filed under the name soil bacterium LU-P1-37. Its description in RNAcentral is "bacterial SSU rRNA". It matches the Rfam family "Bacterial small subunit ribosomal RNA", at positions 355 to 871 of the family's 1533-position model. The record is from RNAcentral.
UGGGGAAUAUUGCACAAUGGGCGAAAGCCUGAUGCAGCGACGCCGCGUGAGGGAUGACGGCCUUCGGGUUGUAAACCUCUUUCAGCAGGGAAGAAGCGCAAGUGACGGUACCUGCAGAAGAAGCGCCGGCUAACUACGUGCCAGCAGCCGCGGUAAUACGUAGGGCGCAAGCGUUGUCCGGAAUUAUUGGGCGUAAAGAGCUCGUAGGCGGCUUGUCACGUCGGGUGUGAAAGCCCGGGGCUUAACCCCGGGUCUGCAUUCGAUACGGGCUAGCUAGAGUUCGGUAGGGGAGAUCGGAAUUCCUGGUGUAGCGGUGAAAUGCGCAGAUAUCAGGAGGAACACCGGUGGCGAAGGCGGAUCUCUGGGCCGAUACUGACGCUGAGGAGCGAAAGCGUGGGGAGCGAACAGGAUUAGAUACCCUGGUAGUCCACGCCGUAAACGGUGGGCACUAGGUGUGGGCGACAUUCCACGUCGUCCGUGCCGCAGCUAACGCAUUAANGCCCCG